This 328-nucleotide ribosomal RNA is filed under the name uncultured Neocallimastigales. RNAcentral's name for it is "partial large subunit ribosomal RNA". The record is from RNAcentral. Lineage: Eukaryota; Fungi; Neocallimastigomycota; Neocallimastigomycetes; Neocallimastigales.
GUUGUUUUUCCAAAAAUCAAUUACGAAUGGCUUGAUUUUGUGUUGUAUUGACCUUAUCAGCUUUCUGCACUUUUUUCGAGUCUUUCUUAAUGCACUUUUCGGUUAACAAGUCAACAUCAAUUUCUUUUGUUGUAAAAGAGUAUUCGGAAGGUGGCUUUCUUUUCGGAGAAAGUGUUUAUAGCCCUAUACUUCUACAAUCGGAGAGAUUGAGGUCUGCAGCGUAGAUCCUUCGGGGUUAGAUACAUUUGUGCUAAGUUGUAGCUUUUCAUAGACAACUUGUUGACUAUGUUUAGUCAUGCGGCUUACUCGCUUAUGCUAUUUUACCUAC